RNAcentral lists this ribosomal RNA (301 nucleotides) under uncultured bacterium. RNAcentral describes it as "partial 16S ribosomal RNA". It matches the Rfam family "Bacterial small subunit ribosomal RNA", at positions 509 to 809 of the family's 1533-position model. The record is from RNAcentral.
CAGCAGCCGCGGUAAUACAGAGGGUGCAAGCGUUAAUCGGAAUUACUGGGCGUAAAGCGCGCGUAGGUGGUUUGUUAAGUCGGAUGUGAAAUCCCCGGGCUCAACCUGGGAACUGCAUCCGAAACUGGCAAGCUAGAGUAUGGUAGAGGGUAGUGGAAUUUCCUGUGUAGCGGUGAAAUGCGUAGAUAUAGGAAGGAACACCAGUGGCGAAGGCGACUACCUGGACUGAUUCUGACACUGAGGUGCGAAAGCGUGGGGAGCAAACAGGAUUAGAUACCCGCGUAGUCCCUGUCUCUUAUAA